UAUGUCCUUUGGGUUCUGGCAGUUAGUGUAGUUUGUCCUUUCAUGGACGCCGCACUUUGGCUUCUGAGGCUAGAUUUCUAUCAGUGUUUAUUUAAGCUUCGCUGAUUGCUUGCUCCUCACUAUAGCCAAAUGAUUUUUGUUUUUUAUUGUAAAACCCUGUUAGUAUAACAUUUAUUGUAUUAUUAUUUAUGCAGUUAGUGAGAUGUUUGUGAAUGCCUGACGGUUUUGGGUGUUUAAGACUGUUUUAUACAAGCUGUAAGCUUGUUAGUCAUUCGUUCCAUUGAAUGCACUUACCAAGUUAUGUGCGUGACUUAAUUACCUCGGUUUGGAAGUGUGCCGAAUAAACUUAACGGUCUCAACCACGACUUUGACCACGCGUGCCUGAUUCUCGCCUCCAUCCAAACUCCGACAGCAACCCUGAGAACACAACGCAGCGAGGUGCCAUCUGACACGGACAGGGUUACAUAUAUAUAUAUAUAUAUAUAUAUAUAUUAUUCUACAUAAAAGUGCUUGGGUUUAUGACUUUGAAUGUAUCCGUAGCACACAUUGUCUGGUUUAUUUGCCUUUAUUUUAGAUUUUAUGACAAUGUAAAGCUACAUGCAUGAUAAUGUUAAUAUUCUGAAUGCAGGACUGUGAUGCAGUUUUCGAGCUCGCCACUAGGGUAAUGUUAAGAGUAAUGAGUAAUGUUAGGAACAGAUGCAAAAAAAAAAAAAAUAGCAGUGAAUCAUGAGAAGCUGCGUUUGGAUGCUGUUUAUUUAGUAUCUUUGAAAGUGUUCGUCCAUAAGACUGGUGAGUUGUGUAUACUGUUCUAUAAGAAUCAUUUGUUAAUUCGGUUUGUUGUUCUGGACAUUUUCUGUUCUUUUCUGCUCUUUUUAGGAGAUAUGGUUUACCAAGCUAAGUUUUUACCUUGAGUUGGUGAUUUUUAUUAUAUUUAGUUGCCUUUUUCUUACUUGAUAUCCACAUCAUAAGUGGCUCAUAUUCUAUGCGAUCUACUGAUCUGAGAUGUUGUGAUUAUACUGAAUUAUAAUUUGUGUUUUCUUUGUGUAUUCUGUUUUGUAGGACCACAAACACCCAUACCUGGUACCUGAAUCUGCUUAUUAAAGAAACCGGUAAAACAUUACAAGGCCUGAUCAUUGACUGGGGGUCAUACAGGCUUUUUACCAGUGUACGCUCUGCAAUUACCACAAUAGUAAACCGAAAACUAGCCUUAGUUAAUACCUUCAGUUAUGUUUAGAACCUUGUUUAUCAAACACUUUAUGAGCAUCCAUUUAUGCUUAUUUUGUGGUGAUCCCAGUCCUGGAAAGUGAAAUAAAUAUCUGUACCUAUCAGA
Long non-coding RNA from Girardinichthys multiradiatus, 1330 nucleotides. RefSeq lists it as uncharacterized. NCBI's taxonomy places the organism in Eukaryota, Metazoa, Chordata, Actinopteri, Cyprinodontiformes, Goodeidae. The transcript is spliced from 2 exons. The record is from RefSeq and is a predicted model, not a curated record.